UGACGUCAAGUCAUCAUGGCCCUUACGGCCAGGGCUACACACGUACUACAAUGGUCGGUACAGAGGGUUGCGAGACCGCGAGGUGGAGCCAAUCCCAGAAAGCCGAUCUCAGUCCGGAUUGGAGUCUGCAACUCGACUCCAUGAAGUCGGAAUCGCUAGUAAUCGCGGAUCAGCCAUGCCGCGGUGAAUACGUUCCCGGGCCUUGUACACACCGCCCGUCACACCAUGGGAGUGGGCUGCACCAGAAGCCGGUAGUCUAACCGCAAGGGGGACGCCGACCACGGUGUGGUUCAUGACUGGGGUGAAGUCGUAACAAGGUAGCCGUAUCGGAAGGUGCGGCUGGAUCACCUCCUUUAGAGUGAUCAAGCGCCGCCGGGCGCCCACACAAGACACCUGUAA
Molecule: ribosomal RNA, 399 nt
Filed under: uncultured bacterium
Lineage: Bacteria
Description: bacterial SSU rRNA
Rfam family: Bacterial small subunit ribosomal RNA (bases 1-355)
Source: RNAcentral